AUUCUUAGAUUAUGUCCUUUGAUCAUAUUGUAUGAAAAACAGAAAAAAGGGGAAAUUUCACACUUUUAUAGUUAUCUUUACAAUGAAAUUGUAUUAAGAAAUUUGUUCACGUUAUUAUUAUAAAAUCACUUUUUCACCUUUUUUCCAGAA
Thalassophryne amazonica is the source of this 150-nucleotide long non-coding RNA. RefSeq lists it as uncharacterized. NCBI's taxonomy places the organism in Eukaryota, Metazoa, Chordata, Actinopteri, Batrachoidiformes, Batrachoididae. The transcript is spliced from 3 exons. The record is from RefSeq and is a predicted model, not a curated record.